Molecule: RNA transcript, 5063 nt
Organism: Triticum aestivum (bread wheat)
Lineage: Eukaryota; Viridiplantae; Streptophyta; Magnoliopsida; Poales; Poaceae
Exons: 6
Source: RefSeq, a predicted model, not a curated record
AUGCCUCAAUGAAAAAAGACCAGCGAAAAAAGACCUACGAAAGAAAAAACAACGACAAAAAAUCAGGCGACUCGCACGCACGAGCGAGGCCUAUCCCGUCGCCACCGCCCGACGCCGCCAGCCCCGUCCUCCUCCCUGGCUCCCGGCGCCGCCCGCCCCCCAUCUCCUCCUGCGAUCCUGGCGUCGCCCCGCCCCACCUUCUCCCUCACUUCCGGCGCUACCUAUCGAUCCCCUCGACGACACAGAGCCGCCGUCCUCUCGUGCGAUCUCGCAGCCGCAUCCGCCAACGCCGAUCCGGGCAGACGCGGCCGUCGUGGAUCACGAGGAUCCGGAUGAUGGGGGCGUGGAGAUGGCCAUGGAUCUGUUACGGCGACGACGGCGCCGGAUCCGCACCCGCAACAUCCGGAUGGAGGCCGGCGACGAACCCUAGCCUAGCCGUCAGCAUCGGGAUCCAACCCCUUCUCUCGGUGUUGGGGCAAGGCGUAUGGGGGUGCUUGUUGCGGCGGUGGACCUCGACCCGGCGACAUCUGCAGCAUCUCCCUCCCGUCGGGCUGCAGGACCUGUACGCCCAAGAGAUGUGAUGUAUGCACCUCAUGGUACACAUAGGGUUUUGAUUUGCUUUCCUUGACUGCAGAAGAUGUUAUUAUGAUGAGCCAGGUCAUGGUACACAGGCUAACUAAACAAGCUUCUGUUGUUUUAUUGUUGGUCGUUCCCGUCCACUGCUGCCAACAGUCAAUUUUCUGCAGGGUUUUUAUUUCUUUCUCUUCCAUCGAAAGCUCCUUUUUGCCACUGAUUAAUUAGUUGAUGCAUGUGGAGAUUUUCGAUACUAGGAGAACCAAGUUUAAACAUGUGCAAUUCCAUCUAUCUAGCAUCAAUGUCGGGUGAGGUUAGACUACAAGAAAGACUAGAUAUUAAGCUUGUUCAUUCUAUCUACACCUUUUGAAUCUGAAGUCACUACUGUUGUAAAUAAUGCUACUUGAGUACCUGGUUGAUUGGUUUUGUUUAUUGUGGCAUUGAGUAGCCUACUACAUUAGUGGUGUCAGCUAUAUUUUGUAAGUUUGUUAUCGAUUCAAUUUAGUUAUUUGUGUGUGUGAUUGAAAAAUAAUGGUUUACAUAUGAAUUGCUACAGUUUUAUAUAAUACUCUUUGAUCUGUGCUGCUAGGUCUGCUACUGCGUGCAUGACAACAUGAGGUGUCGCAAUCGGUGCGGUAUGCUGGUGAUAGAUGUUCUCGAUUGUGAUGCCCAAGCCUGUCUGCCGCAAUUGUGUGUUCGUUACUGCUGAGAUAAGCGUAUCCAGAUCUUUUGACCCUUCCACGAAAAGGUGUAACAUGGUAAAUUUGUCGCAACAAGCAGCAUGGCAUUCUUGAUAGCUUUUCUCCCUAUUAUGACUUGCAUCUUUCUACCCUGCCCCAAAUUAAAUUUGAUUGGGACUAUUUGAUUGAAUGUCAAAUAAAGAUCAACUUUAUCUCUGAUCGAUUCAUGGAAAUGGAAGCUGAAUAAUAUUCUGAUUAUUACUUGCAUGCUAUAUUCACUGUUUUUGGUUUAACAACUUGCAAGUGUUUCUUUUAAUCCGCAGAAAAAGGACUCACGGGUGGACAUCUGCUAUAAAUUACCUAGGCCUGGUCAUCUGCGUGAGUUGCAUCUGUCAUUUUUCUUCCCAGGUAGAACAUUAGUUUUAAUUAAAAACAAGGUAGAACAUUAGUGUUCUCCACAGUUUGAUGGGAACACUUUGACUUUCUGUAACCCCUAGAUUUGGUAUUUCCUGAUGAUUGCUUGCGGUUCUUCUUACUUUCUGGUAUAAAUAGAGAAAAAUGAGGAUAUUGUAAUUAUUUUAGAAUGUUCAAGAUUUAGGUGUCCAUACUGUGCUAACUAUGGUCUGAAUUGUUUUGGGGAAUCAUGAUGUCAUGUCGUGAUUACACAAUUCCAAGCUGUGGUUCAGAAGCACACUUCGCUAAAAUACAUGCAAUCGUUUUUUUGGGUUUUCUUCUCACAAUAUAUAUACGUAAAUCAUGUAAUUUGCAACCUUGGUAAGUGCACCUCGAGCUGGCUGAAACAUGCCUGUUCCAAUCAUGAACGGACAUGAAGGCAGCCGGUGGGAUUUACUAUUGCGUCUCGACCUACUCGGAGCAGGAGAGGCCAGGCUAUGGCAGCCGCGGUCGUGGCGUCGUGCACGUGGCAUCGACGCAGGUGAGAAUACAUCUAUGGUAGUCUCGUGGGCCGAGCGUCAAGGUGAUGGUAGCCGACCCUCCACGCCCCCUCUAGGGAUGGGAAGUGGCGGGCAGAGUACCUCCCCCGCGCAUGUCAGGUUGCUGAUCCACCCCUAAUUCCAUUAUACACUGCUACAUCUUAUCUGUCAUCUACUCACAACAUUGCAAGAUGUGGCAUGUCCUAAGACGAUGAGAUUACAAAGAUUGAGGUGAUAGAAUCUAGCUGUGUCAUGGGCAAGCUGGUUGGCACCAUUGUGACAUGACAUCAGUCAUGUGCGUUAAAAUCACGAACGACGGCGCUUGCUUUCAUAACCUAAUAUACUUCUCCCACAUGGAAAUUAUAUAAGUAUGGUUGUUUAUAACUGUAUGCACUGGACAUGUGUUCUCUCUCAGUAAUGUGCAUGUUUGCUCCAUUACUCAUUUACCCAUUCUGGUAAUUUUUUCUCUGUGUUUUUAGUCCACAAACCAAUGUUUAGUCUCUGGAAGAAAGUCAAGGUAUUAUGACGUGUGUGUGCGUCUAUAUAUAAACAAAGAGAUAUAUAUGUCUCAUAUCCUAUAGAUUUUGGUCUGCCUUUUUCUUUCCUUACGGAGAUGCACCUGAUUAGUUUGUUUCACCUGUUUGAUAAAUAGUAUUUUUCACAAUAUAAUUUUAUUUCACGGUGUCUACUCAACGAAUUGCUUGUGAGUGUGUGUUUUCACAAAUGGUGCAGAAUAAACUCCCAACUAAAUCGUUGGAUAUGUAUAUAAUUUGCAGAGUUGCAAACACUUUCAAUUUCAACUGUGUGGUGAUCAGGACAUUCUGUGUUGCUUGGACAACCGAGCUAAGACAGCGAUGCCACCACCUACUUGUAUCUGUACAGGAACUCCGGUGAUUAUUUCUGUGAGUGCCUAAAUAUAUAUCCUCUGCUCUCCAAAUGGUAGUGUUUGAGGUUUUCAUUUCUCCCCCUUCCAGUUCUGCUGAGCACCUUCAAUUCCCCUUUCCCCAGCUCGAAGGAAUUGGCGCCUCCGUUAGUGACCCCGAGUAGUGAUGCAAUGAUUUUCCAAAAAUGAAGAAGCUUGUCGUUCAACCGAUGACAAAACACCUAGAGUACGUGCAAAAAUUACUACUUCCUCAUUUACAGCAAACUCAUUGAUACGACAAAGGCAAAAUUUUGGGUGGCAAGGUAUAUGAUUAGAUCAUGUGUAAUCUUCUAGAUGCAUUUUUCUAUUCUUCCAUUGUGUUCUUUAGACAUGCCUCUUUUUGUUAUUUUACAUCAGUUAACUGAAGUUCAUAUUAUUCCUUUAUCUGAUUGUAGCUUCAAAGUUUGAUUACAGCAGAGUCAUUGAUACAACAUACACAGUUUGUGAAUUUACCUACUACUACGAGUUACGUCAUAUAGCAAUGUUUUCUUGCCUAGAAAAAUAUUACAUGAAAGGCCUAAUGUCUUGUGAAUGUGUAUAGUAGCUACGAGUAGGUGGUCAAACUGUACACCUUUAAAGCAUGAAUAAGGUGCUAGCUUAUGUGCUGCAGUUGCUUUGCAUUGUUCAGAUGCAAUGUGUUUUCGCUCAGCGGGAGCACUUCUUCUGAUUAUUUAUAAUUUUUAGUUUGCUUCUUAUAAUUUUAAGACAAUUUUUGCGACUUGGAAUGUAUAGCAUCCCCCUUUUCUCACUGGAAAUGACAUGUAAGAACAAACCAGUUCUAGUUCUGGCAUAGUUCUGAUGGUUGAAGUGUAUGUCUAUAUGAUUUAGUAUAUGCAUGGGAGUACCCGCUAAACGAUGAAGCAUAUUGUGUCGUGUUAGCUCCAUCUAGCUUUAUUAUCUUGAAUUCUGUAUCUAGAUUUUGUAUGUUGUAUUCCCUUUCACCGCGUCUACAUACUUGAUGAAGCUUUUUUCUGAUUGCAAAGUAUGUGCAAGUCAGUAGUGAACACUCUAUAUCGUUGUUCCAGAAAAGCAAGAUUCAGCAAUUUCCGCAACAUUUCAUGUCCGUUCCAUGUAGUAGUUUUUGCGGAAUUAUAUUGAUGAUUUCCUUUUACCUUCAUAUUUGCUUAGUUUUCUUAGCAAACACAAAAUGCUUUGCGUCUUGAAGCAUUGAUAGAAGCGAACAUAAUUCAUGAUACAAGCCUAAUACUCUGAAAAUAUUUUUACGGUUCACUAUUCCUAUGAGGGGAGUGAGUGGAGACAGCCAUGAGUGGCUCAACAUGUCGAGCAGCGGCCGCCUAUGAGGGGAGUGAGUGGAGACGUGCAAAUAUGUGUGGUGGAGGGGCAACGGAAGCUUGAACGGAAGAUUCGUCGCCAACAUCAAAGAAAUCUAUGGCCUGAUCGACCCUAAAGCUCCUGCAUGGACAUGAAGGUGACCGGGGGCAGAUUGCCGACAUUUGCCACACUAUGGGCAAUCUAUGUGAUGAUCUGCUCUCCGCAAUUGAAGCCAGGAAUGAGCGACAAGAUCUCUUCGGGAAUGGCUGAUGAGGAAGAAUUAACUGCGGGGGAAUGGUGGAUCUAGGUGGAGUUCGCUUUAGCCAGUGAGGGACGAGCUUUAGUUGUGUAGGGGAAGGGAAGCCACAUGCAUGAGUCAGACAUAAUAAAUCGGCUCGAAAAUGACUCUGUUACUCCAGAAUCUCGUCUUGGACGACCCAUAUGGUGGUCUGACAUUCGAUCCGGUGUGAAAGUGCCUCACAUAGUCAUGUUUCAUGGACUUCAGAUGUGGGCCAUAUUCACUGUUCAAAAGAAGCAUACAUAGAUUAUUAGUGGCCUAUGUGUGUUGGGCUGUAAAUCCCGGGGCAACUUGAUGGGAGGGAUAACGAGCACACAUGUGCUCCAACACAUAAUAGAGUGCAUAUAACAUGGCUUUCUCACGACUUUAUGCCACUAAUAAGAAGU